ACCUACGGGGCGCAGCAGUGGGGAAUAUUGCACAAUGGGCGCAAGCCUGAUGCAGCGACGCCGCGUGAGGGAUGAAGGUCUUCGGAUCGUAAACCUCUGUCAGCAGGGAAGAACGGUCACUGUGCUAAUCAGCAGUGAAUUGACGGUACCUGCAAAGGAAGCACCGGCUAACUCCGUGCCAGCAGCCGCGGUAAUACGGAGGGUGCGAGCGUUAAUCGGAAUUACUGGGCGUAAAGCGCUCGUAGGCGGUAUGUCAAGUCAAGGGUGGAAUCCCCGCGCUCAACGUGGGAACUGCCUUUGAAACU
RNAcentral lists this ribosomal RNA (305 nucleotides) under uncultured bacterium. Its description in RNAcentral is "bacterial SSU rRNA". It matches the Rfam family "Bacterial small subunit ribosomal RNA", at positions 337 to 634 of the family's 1533-position model. The record is from RNAcentral.